UCACCUGUGUCAACCCGGCUCGGAGGUG
This 28-nucleotide non-coding RNA is filed under the name Homo sapiens (human). Lineage: Eukaryota; Metazoa; Chordata; Mammalia; Primates; Hominidae. The record is from RNAcentral.